This 468-nucleotide ribosomal RNA is filed under the name uncultured bacterium. Its description in RNAcentral is "partial 16S ribosomal RNA". It matches the Rfam family "Bacterial small subunit ribosomal RNA", at positions 28 to 507 of the family's 1533-position model. The record is from RNAcentral.
GACGAACGCUGGCGGCGUGCUUAACACAUGCAGGUCGAACGGAAAGGCCCUGCUUUUGUGGGGUGCUCGAGUGGCGAACGGGUGAGUAACACGUGAGUAACCUGCCCUUGACUUUGGGAUAACUUCAGGAAACUGGGGCUAAUACCGGAUAGGAGCUCCUGCUGCAUGGUGGGGGUUGGAAAGUUUCGGCGGUUGGGGAUGGACUCGCGGCUUAUCAGCUUGUUGGUGGGGUAGUGGCUUACCAAGGCUUUGACGGGUAGCCGGCCUGGGAGGGUGACCGGCCACAAUGGGACUGAGAUACGGCCCAGACUCCUACGGGAGGCAGCAGUGGGGAAUAUUGCACAAUGGGCGGAAGCCUGAUGCAGCAACGCCGCGUGCGGGAUGACGGCCUUCGGGUUGUAAACCGCUUUCGCCUGUGACGAAGCGUGAGUGACGGUAAUGGGUAAAGAAGCACCGGCUAACUACGUG